RNAcentral lists this ribosomal RNA (497 nucleotides) under uncultured bacterium. Its description in RNAcentral is "partial 16S ribosomal RNA". It matches the Rfam family "Bacterial small subunit ribosomal RNA", at positions 28 to 507 of the family's 1533-position model. The record is from RNAcentral.
GAUGAACGCUGGCGGCGUGCCUAAUACAUGCAAGUCGAGCGAACGGACGAGAAGCUUGCUUCUCUGAUGUUAGCGGCGGACGGGUGAGUAACACGUGGAUAACCUACCUAUAAGACUGGGAUAACUUCGGGAAACCGGAGCUAAUACCGGAUGAUAUUUUGAACCGCAUGGUUCAAAAGUGAAAGACGGUCUUGCUGUCACUUAUAGAUGGAUCCGCGCUGCAUUAGCUAGUUGGUAAGGUAACGGCUUACCAAGGCAACGAUGCAUAGCCGACCUGAGAGAGUGAUCGGCCACACUGGAACUGGGACACGGUCCAGACUCCUACGGGAGGCAGCAGUAGGGAAUCGUCCGCAAUGGGCGGAAGCCUGACGGAGCAACGCCGCGUGAGUGAUGAAGGUCUUCGGAGCGUAAAGCUCUGUUACUAGGGAAGAACAUAUGUGUAAGUAGCUGUGCACAUCGUGACGGUACCUGAUCAGAAAGCCACGGCUAACUACGUG